Molecule: long non-coding RNA, 500 nt
Filed under: Bos taurus (domestic cattle)
Lineage: Eukaryota; Metazoa; Chordata; Mammalia; Artiodactyla; Bovidae
Description: long non-coding RNA NONBTAT021861
Source: RNAcentral
AAGGAAUAAAAUUACUUGAUUAUAUCAAAAAUUUAUUGGUAGCAUUAACUUUUUCUCUGCAAACUAAAGCUUAUUCAGCCAUGCUCAAUCAGUUAACACAUGGCCAGCAAUUCUGUCUUUUCAGGACUGAACUACAUAUGUUGAAAUAUGACUUUUGUCAUUGGGUUUUUUGUAGAUGAUUCAAGUGGUGUCAAAAUCCAUCUUUUAUUUAUGCCUCUUAAGGCAGUUUAUUUGCAAAAUCUAUCACACUCACACGCAAAUGCACACAUCAGUUUUUGUACUUUUCCGUUUCAAGAUACUUAAAAACAGAAAACUAGCACAUAGAAACAAUUAUUUUUUCUAUUAGAAAAAGGAAUACAGAGUAAAAUAUUACUAAGGUCCUUGGCUAUGUGAGAUAUAUUUAAAACAUAGACUCUAAUUUCAAACAGAUUUCAUGUAUAACAUUAAUGUAAGUUUGGGGAUUUUUUACUUUUUAUUUCUCCACCACAUUCUGGUCCCUA